This 552-nucleotide ribosomal RNA is filed under the name uncultured bacterium. Its description in RNAcentral is "partial 16S ribosomal RNA". It matches the Rfam family "Bacterial small subunit ribosomal RNA", at positions 355 to 900 of the family's 1533-position model. The record is from RNAcentral.
UGGGGAAUUUUGGACAAUGGGCGCAAGCCUGAUCCAGCCAUGCCGCGUGCGGGAAGAAGGCCUUCGGGUUGUAAACCGCUUUUGUCAGGGAAGAAAUCUUCUGAGUUAAUACCUCGGGAGGAUGACGGUACCUGAAGAAUAAGCACCGGCUAACUACGUGUCAGCAGCCGCGGUAAUACGUAGGGUGCAAGCGUUAAUCGGAAUUACUGGGCGUAAAGCGUGCGCAGGCGGUUUUGUAAGACAGAGGUGAAAUCCCCGGGCUCAACCUGGGAACUGCCUUUGUGACUGCAAGGCUUGAGUGCGGCAGAGGGGGAUGGAAUUCCGCGUGUAGCAGUGAAAUGCGUAGAUAUGCGGAGGAACACCGAUGGCGAAGGCAAUCCCCUGGGCCUGCACUGACGCUCAUGCACGAAAGCGUGGGGAGCAAACAGGAUUAGAUACCCUGGUAGUCCACGCCCUAAACGAUGUCAACUGGUUGUUGGGAAGGUUCCUUCUCAGUAACGUAGCUAACGCGUGAAGUUGACCGCCUGGGGAGUACGGCCGCAAGGUUGAAAC